Molecule: ribosomal RNA, 918 nt
Filed under: uncultured archaeon
Lineage: Archaea
Description: bacterial SSU rRNA
Rfam family: Archaeal small subunit ribosomal RNA
Source: RNAcentral
UUCCGGUUGAUCCUGCCGGAGGCCAUUGCUAUCGGAGUUCGAUUUAGCCAUGCUAGUCGCACGGGUUUAGACCCGUGGCGAAAAGCUCAGUAACACGUGGCCAAACUACCCUAUGGAUCAGAAUAACCUCGGGAAACUGAGGACAAUUCUGAAUACCGCUCCUGCACUGGGAUGUGCGGAGCUCGAAACGCUACGGCGCCAUAGGAUGUGGCUGCGGCCGAUUAGGUUGACGGUGGGGUAACGGCCCACCGUGCCCAUAAUCGGUACGGGUUGUGAGAGCAAGAGCCCGGAGACGGUAUCUGAGACAAGAUACCGGGCCCUACGGGGCGCAGCAGGCGCGAAACCUUUACACUGCACGACAGUGCGAUAAGGGAACUCCGAGUGCGAGGGCAUAGAGCCCUCGCUUUUGUACACCGUAAGGUGGUGCACGAAUAAGGGCUGGGCAAGACCGGUGCCAGCCGCCGCGGUAAUACCGGCAGCCCAAGUGAUGGCCGAUAUUAUUGGGCCUAAAGCGUCCGUAGCUGGCCGGACAAGUCCGUUGGGAAAUCCGCGCGCUCAACGCGCGGGCGUCCAGCGGAAACUGUCCGGCUUGGGGCCGGAAGACCUGAGGGGUACGUCCGGGGUAGGAGUGAAAUCCUGUAAUCUCGGACGGACCGCCUGUGGCGAAAGCGCCUCAGGAAGACGGACCCGACAGUGAGGGACGAAAGCCAGGGUCUCGAACCGGAUUAGAUACCCGGGUAGUCCUGGCUCUAAACGAUGUCCGCUAGGUGUGACGCAGGCUACGGGCCUGCGCUGUGCCGUAGGGAAGCCGUGAAGCGGACCGCCUGGGAAGUACGUCUGCAAGGAUGAAACUUAAAGGAAUUGGCGGGGGAGCACUACAACCGGAGGAGCCUGCGGUUUAAUUGGAUUCAACGCCGG